UACGUAGGGUGCGAGCGUUACUCGGAAUUACUGGGCGUAAAGCGUGCGCAGGCGGUUAGUUAAGUCUGAUGUGAAAGCCCCGGGCUCAACCUGGGAAUGGCAUUGGAAACUGGCUUGCUGGAGUAUGGCAGAGGGGGGUGGAAUUCCGCGUGUAGCAGUGAAAUGCGUAGAGAUGCGGAGGAACACCGAUGGCGAAGGCAGCCCCCUGGGCCAAUACUGACGCUCAGGCACGAAAGCGUGGGGAGCAAACAGG
This 253-nucleotide ribosomal RNA is filed under the name uncultured bacterium. RNAcentral describes it as "partial 16S ribosomal RNA". It matches the Rfam family "Bacterial small subunit ribosomal RNA", at positions 524 to 776 of the family's 1533-position model. The record is from RNAcentral.